This is a long non-coding RNA of Columba livia (rock pigeon), 1022 nucleotides long. RefSeq lists it as uncharacterized. The record is from RefSeq and is a predicted model, not a curated record. NCBI's taxonomy places the organism in Eukaryota, Metazoa, Chordata, Aves, Columbiformes, Columbidae. The transcript has 4 exons.
UUUUUUUUUUUUUUAAUUUUUUUUUUCCAAAAAAAAAUUGUUUUGAUUCUUCUGGUCAGUUGUGCUUAUUGAGUUGUGGCUCAUUGCUCGUGCUCAGGGCUGAGGAGGGCGUCAAAAGGAUGGCAGGAGGAACUUGGUUGCCAUGGUGCGGAGAUGUUCAGCCAGUGCCGAGCAGGACAAGAGGCAGCAGGACAGGUGACCAAGGGAGAGAAGACAUUUUGAAGCCAGGAAGACAUGAAUUGUACACAUUUUUUGCAACAGGAGAAACAAGACACUAGUUUUCUAAAAGAACUGAAGUAUCAUUCAAAAAUCCAGCAAGGAGGAAGAGGAGGAGCAAUUAUCUGUUGUCCUGAAGCAGCUCCAAGCCUUUGGUCCAUGUCCCCCAACACGGAAGCUCAGAAAGCUGCUGAGUUCAGCAGAACCUCUGCAUAAUUGGGCCAAUUUGUGGAGCACCUCAUCUUCUCUCCAGAAAUUAUUGCCCCUGGGGCAAGAAGAGCAGCAACUAUCCUCUACAUCAAGAAGCUCUUCUUUAUUGACCUAUUUUGGUUUACAGCCCAGAAUAUUAAAUUUGGGGGUUAUUUUAGUAUAUAUCCAGGCCAUAAAUGCUGAAGGUCUGUACGUGUUCCAGUGUUCUGCUGUUGGAAGCAAGGUGUUGGGGGAGAAGGGGCAUUAACCUUUCCAGCCAUGCCAGCCUUGUUCCUGAGCCAGUGUCUCUGCUCCAGAGGAAGCAAAUAGGAAGUACAGAAAUAAAGCUUUCCACUCAAUUUGCCUGUUGUAAAAAUAAACACACCUGAAUAUCAGAGCUAGUGUAGGAACAAUUUCUUUAAGCUUUGAGGAAACCAAUUUGGGGAAGGGGACUAUAGGAUUUUUAUUUGUUUGUUGGUUUGUUAUUUUUGAAAUUAAGAGUCUGAAAAAAUAGUUUCCAAGCAUCUCUAGGACCAGUGGCAUCUGCUGGCUGGUGCUGCCUGGGAAAGGUCUAUCAAUGGGAGCUCCCUGCGGUGACAGGGAUCAGUGGGCACAAA